CGGGGUGAGUAACACGUGGGUAACCUACCCAUCAGAGGGGGAUAACACUUGGAAACAGGUGCUAAUACCGUAUAACAAUCGAAACCGCAUGGUUUCGGUUUGAAAGGCGCUUUUGCGUCACUGAUGGAUGGACCCGCGGUGCAUUAGCUAGUUGGUGAGGUAACGGCUCACCAAGGCAACGAUGCAUAGCCGACCUGAGAGGGUGAUCGGCCACAUUGGGACUGAGACACGGCCCAA
Molecule: ribosomal RNA, 237 nt
Filed under: uncultured bacterium
Lineage: Bacteria
Description: partial 16S ribosomal RNA
Rfam family: Bacterial small subunit ribosomal RNA
Source: RNAcentral